ACAUUUUGAAAUGUUUCAAAAUUGCUGUUGGAGAAUAUGUACAUAUAACUAACAUAAAAAGUUAGAAAAAGUCAGAAUUUUUGCAACACUGACAACCACUGGAACAGGAACCCGAUGGCAGGGACGACGCCCCUGUGGAUGGCAGGUCGCGUUCUGCCCGCCCAAGUGGGUGGGUCACAGGCACCGGCAACCUCCGAGUCCCGCGCAGCGUUUCAAUUAGCGAGUACGGGCACUGGGUGGCGCCCAAAACGAGUGCCGCACCGCCGGACUGGCUCUUUGUGAUUUUUGCCAAGAACGCGGCCAAGAACCUCUGCAGCAACAGCACAUUCAAAUAGACAGACACGUGUCCAUCAGCGGUUUAACCCUUCUUAAGGUAACGCCCAAGGAUUACCAGGCGACCAGCAACCGCAGUGGGCAACCCACGGCAGUUCGCUGCCAUUGCGCAUGUCGCCCACUAGGGCGUGAUCUACGGGGCGGAGUAAAGCGUACGUACGGCCUGCCCCGCUGGCCCACCCACCGAGUGGGCUGGCUUCUUUCACGUUACCAUUGUCGAGGCUAUUACAUAACGGUAACAUUCGGCAGCAGCGCUGCCGACAGUCCAAACCGGUUAACAGUUACGUCGUAACUAGGAGCAACCUUAGUGCACCAGGCGAACAGAACCGCCAGCCGGAGCGGCAUUACUACGUCUUUAUAUUGAUGCACCCCGGUGGGUUUCAGCCACAACUGCGGUUAGUAAUUUAGCACAAAUUGUUUAAUUUCACAUUUGAAAUAUGUCUCUUGGUGUUAAGGGUAUCAUACAGUAGAGCAUAGAAUUUGAGAAACACCGCAUUUCAUUUCUACGCCUUAUGAAAUCGAGGGAAUCAAAGCUGACUGCUUGAAACCUUUCGGAAAAGUUUUUUUGUAAGUUCGGUUGUGCGGUUAGUAAUUUAGCACAAAUUGUUUAAUUUCACAUUUGAAAUAUGUCUCUUGGUGUUAAGGGUAUCAUACAGUAGAGCAUAGAAUUUGAGAAACACCGCAUUUCAUUUCUACGCCUUAUGAAAUCGAGGGAAUCAAAGCUGACUGCUUGAAACCUUUCGGAAAAGUUUUUUUUGCAUUGCUGUGACUUUAUUAUCUUGAACGCAACUGUUUGUGGCUGCUGGCAAUUUAGGGGUUGCUCUUGCGGCUGCAUUAAGUGCGCGACUCCUGCUCAAGGUCGCGUCUCACACACACGUACAUACGCUCUCAUACAGAGAACGAAAGCGCGGUCCUGUGUCUUUGAUUUCGCCCUUGUGAGUGUGGCAGCUUCUCUCACACUUGACAGAUUUCAGUGUGUGUGCUCAGGCGACACGUGUAUACGUCCGUCACAUACUCGUACACAUUCUUUCGUGGUAGAUUUCGUACCAGGAGAGCAUAAUCCUGUGGAACGCAUCAACAUGUCAGCAUAAUUUGGACUGUUCAACGCACAGCCGCCCAUGUGUGCGGCUAAUGGAAUCAGUUAUAGUGCGGAACGCACACCCAUGCGGGUAAACAUGCCUGUAUGUAAGGUGUUCCCUGCCUCACAAGAGUGACUGCUACCCUUCAGCCCUCAUCGCGUAUACGCAAUGGCUGCAAAAGCUCGAAAAGCUUAGCGAAGCUUACGGCCGGGUUCUGGAAUAGGAUAAUGACCAUCAGAGAAGAUAAAAAAAUAAUUUAUUCAACUUGUAACUAAGUAUUUUAAUUUUUCCAUAACCUAAUUUGAGUAAUGGACAGUAUUUAACAAAAUAUAAUUUCUUGAAUAAUUUACAAAAGUUAGCUUACUUAAAGAAUAAAAUUUCUCAAAUAAAGUCAA
Molecule: long non-coding RNA, 1807 nt
Organism: Drosophila yakuba
Lineage: Eukaryota; Metazoa; Arthropoda; Insecta; Diptera; Drosophilidae
Exons: 2
Source: RefSeq, a predicted model, not a curated record